UACGUAGGUGGCAAGCGUUAUCCGGAAUUAUUGGGCGUAAAGAGGGAGCAGGCGGCAGCAAAGGUCUGUGGUGAAAGACUGAAGCUUAACUUCAGUAAGCCAUAGAAACCGGGCAGCUAGAGUGCAGGAGGGGAUCGUGGAAUUCCAUGUGUAGCGGUGAAAUGCGUAGAUAUAUGGAGGAACACCAGUGGCGAAGGCGACGAUCUGGCCUGCAACUGACGCUCAGUCCCGAAAGCGUGGGGAGCAAAUAGG
This 252-nucleotide ribosomal RNA is filed under the name uncultured bacterium. Its description in RNAcentral is "partial 16S ribosomal RNA". It matches the Rfam family "Bacterial small subunit ribosomal RNA", at positions 524 to 776 of the family's 1533-position model. The record is from RNAcentral.